RNAcentral lists this ribosomal RNA (222 nucleotides) under uncultured prokaryote. Its description in RNAcentral is "partial 16S ribosomal RNA". It matches the Rfam family "Bacterial small subunit ribosomal RNA", at positions 524 to 745 of the family's 1533-position model. The record is from RNAcentral.
GACGUAGGGGGCCAGCGUUGUUCGGAAUUACUGGGUGUAAAGGGUCAGUAGGCGGUGUGGCAAGUUGGGAGUGAAAUCUAUGGGCUCAACCCAUAGGCUGCUUCCAAAACUGCUGUGCUUGAGUGUGGGAGAGGCGCGUGGAAUUGCAGGUGUAGCGGUGAAAUGCGUAGAUAUCUGCAGGAACACCCGUGGCGAAAGCGGCGCGCUGGACCACUACUGACG